GCCAACGUCCAUACCACGUUGAACACACCGGUUCUCGUCCGAUCACCGAAGUUAAGCAACGUCGGGCGCGAUCAGUACUUGGAUGGGUGACCGCCUGGGAACACCGCGUGAUGUUGGCU
Non-coding RNA from Papilio xuthus (Asian swallowtail), 119 nucleotides. Lineage: Eukaryota; Metazoa; Arthropoda; Insecta; Lepidoptera; Papilionidae. The record is from Rfam.